ACCGCCGCUCCUCUUCCCUUUUCCCCACACACGCUCCCCUCCACUCACCGCCUACGCUCCCCCCCCCCCCCCCCCCCCCCCGCUCCUCUCUUUCCCUUUUUCAUCAUCACCGCCGCACCCCGCUCCUCCACUCACCUCAAAUUUCCCUAUAAAAAGGGGGGCGGGAACGAAAAAAAAAAGGGGGAGAGAAGAAAACGAAUGAACUUAGACAGGAAGAUCUGGAAACAAAAAUCUCCCCACAAAACACAAGUUUUAAUCAACAAAAAUAGCCAACAAUUACUCUAUUUUCCUUUCUUUUUUCGUUUAAAACUUUAGUUACUUUAAUCGGGUUCAGGUUUGGAUUCUUCGAGUUCGAGUAUAGAUUCGAGACCCCGACGAUCUCAGUUCACUGCACCUGAAAAAGGUAAUGUUUCGAAAGAGACUUGAGGAUGGCCAUUUGAAGUAGACUCUUUGGAUGCUUAGAUGAAGAUCACAUUUGCAUGAGCACGUUCAUUUUGUAUACUUUUGGGGACUUGUACGUGAUCCAUGUGAUACACUUAGAUGUGCACUUUUGAAUGAAAUUUGGGUCAUUAUGCUAAUAUUUUGUAACUUGGUUUUGAUGAAUGACUUGACUAUUUUGGGAGUAUCCAUGCCCAAGUCUUGUAAUAUAUUAAAUUCAGUACUUGUGUUGAACUUGGGAACUUAACUAGUUUGUAUUUGAGAUUGAGAGUUGAAUUUC
Lycium barbarum (goji berry) is the source of this 718-nucleotide long non-coding RNA. RefSeq lists it as uncharacterized. The transcript has 2 exons. Lineage: Eukaryota; Viridiplantae; Streptophyta; Magnoliopsida; Solanales; Solanaceae. The record is from RefSeq and is a predicted model, not a curated record.